UUCUUAUAUGCAUGUAUAUGUUAAAUAUAAACUUUACACAUAUAUGAAGUCGGGCCUGCCCAGUGAAUUUAUUUAACGGCCGCGGUACCCUGACCGUGCAAAGGUAGCAUAAUACUUGCCUUAUAAUUGAAGGCUGGAAUGAAUGGUUUGACAAGAAUGUGGCUGUCUCAUUAUAAUUAAAUAGAAUUUUAUUUUAGGGUGAAAAAGCCCUAGUUUAAUUAAAAGACAAGAAGACCCUAUCGAGCUUGAAGUUAAUUAAUAAAAGAUUAACACUUGGAAAAAUUAAUUAUUAAAGAUUUUGGUUGGGGCAACUAAGGAGCAAAAAAAGCCUCUUUUUAAAAACUACACACACUAGUAAUGAUCCAAUAAUUUUGAUCGAAGAAAAUAGUUACCGUAGGGAUAACAGCAUUAUCUUUUUUGAGAGCUCUUAUCGAAAAAAAGGUUUGUGACCUCGAUGUUGGACCAGAAUAUCCUAAAGAUGCAGGAGUCUUUAAAGGUUGGUCUGUUCGACC
RNAcentral lists this ribosomal RNA (512 nucleotides) under Conasprella puncticulata. Its description in RNAcentral is "partial 16S ribosomal RNA". It matches the Rfam family "Bacterial large subunit ribosomal RNA", at positions 1806 to 2586 of the family's 2925-position model. Lineage: Eukaryota; Metazoa; Mollusca; Gastropoda; Neogastropoda; Conidae. The record is from RNAcentral.